UGGGGAAUCUUCCGCAAUGGACGAAAGUCUGACGGAGCAACGCCGCGUGAGUGAAGAAGGUUUUCGGAUCGUAAAACUCUGUCUUUUGGGGCGAACGUGAGUAUGGUGAACAAUCAUAGUCAGUGACGGUACCAAAGGAGGAAGCCACGGCUAACUACGUGCCAGCAGCCGCGGUAAUACGUAGGUGGCAAGCGUUGUCCGGAAUUAUUGGGCGUAAAGAGCGCGUAGGCGGGAUAGUCAGUCUGUUGUAAAGUGCGGGGCUCAACCCCGUGAUCGCAAUGGAAACAGCUAUUCUUGAGUGCAGGAGAGGAAAGUGGAAUUCCCAGUGUAGCGGUGAAAUGCGUAGAUAUUGGGAGGAACACCAGUGGCGAAGGCGACUUUCUGGACUGUGUCUGACGCUGAGGCGCGAAAGCCAGGGGAGCGAACGGGAUUAGAUACCCCGGUAGUCCUGGCCGUAAACGAUGGGUACUAGGUGUGGGAGGUAUCGACCCCUUCCGUGCCGGAGUUAACGCAAUAAGUACCCCGCCUGGGGAGUACGAUCGCAA
This 545-nucleotide ribosomal RNA is filed under the name uncultured bacterium. Its description in RNAcentral is "partial 16S ribosomal RNA". It matches the Rfam family "Bacterial small subunit ribosomal RNA", at positions 355 to 891 of the family's 1533-position model. The record is from RNAcentral.